RNAcentral lists this ribosomal RNA (463 nucleotides) under uncultured bacterium. Its description in RNAcentral is "bacterial SSU rRNA". It matches the Rfam family "Bacterial small subunit ribosomal RNA", at positions 8 to 493 of the family's 1533-position model. The record is from RNAcentral.
AGAGUUUGAUCCUGGCUCAGGAUAAACGCUGGCGGCGUGCAUAAAACAUGUAAGUCGAACGGGGUCGGCGCAAGCCGGCUCAGUGGCGGACGGCUGAGUAACGCGUAGGUGACUUGCCUCGAAGUGGGGAAUAACGAUUCGAAAGAAUCGCUAAUACCGCAUGUGGUUGUGCGUAUGGACGCGUGCAACUAAAGCUCGCAAGGGCGCUUUGAGAGAGGCCUGCGUCCGAUUAGCUAGUUGGUGGGGUAACGGCCUACCAAGGCGACGAUCGGUAGCUGAUCUGAGAGGAUGGUCAGCCAGACUGGGACUGAGACACGGCCCAGACUCCUACGGGAGGCAGCAGUUAGGAAUUUUGCACAAUGGGCGAAAGCCUGAUGCAGCAACGCCGCGUGGAUGAUGAAGGCCUUCGGGUCGUAAAAUCCUUUUCAGAGGGAAGAAUCGGACGGUACCUCNGAAUAAGCAU